GGAUAGCUCAUAUUCACAAGGACUUCGUGGUUUACAAUCAUAAAGGUUCCCAACCUAUUCCUAAACAAAGCACGGUCAGAUGGCAUUGGGAAGAGGACUGCAGAGCCCAAGGACAUUGCUAAUUCUUUGGAACUCGUUGUCAUGGAGCAAGGUAGACUGAAAUUAGCAUGUGUCCAAAUUAAAACUGCAGACUUCAAGGAUUAUUUGAUGGACUAUUCUGAGACCCUUUCCUAAAGAUUUAGGAAAAAAAAGAUUCUGAUUUGAUUGCUACGAGGACUCUGUUUUUGGAUGCUG
Molecule: long non-coding RNA, 294 nt
Filed under: Vombatus ursinus (common wombat)
Lineage: Eukaryota; Metazoa; Chordata; Mammalia; Diprotodontia; Vombatidae
Description: lncRNA (ENSVURG00010006689.1)
Source: RNAcentral